UAAAAGUCCAAGAGAAUUCUGGGUUUCUAUUGACAUUCUUAUCUAUUGGAUUGCUACCCAUUUGGUCAGAUCUUUUCAACUCUAAACUUUAAUUUUGUACAUAGGAUAGUCUCUUCAUCUUCUCCCCACUUUCUUUAAUUUCAAAAUCUCUCCCUCCCUUUUCAAAAACCUUCUUUGAUUGAACUUAUUUUGUUCUAAAUUUUGACCACUUUGCAGAAAGAUAGAAACUUU
RNAcentral lists this long non-coding RNA (231 nucleotides) under Lathyrus oleraceus (garden pea). Its description in RNAcentral is "Pisum sativum (pea) long non-coding RNA (PSAT_LNC000964)". The record is from RNAcentral. Lineage: Eukaryota; Viridiplantae; Streptophyta; Magnoliopsida; Fabales; Fabaceae.